UGGAGAUCUAAAUACUAAAUAAUUAAGAAUGUUUAUCUUUUGAAUGUCUGAAUGUAUAAGAUUUGCCUUUAUUUAAAAGUUUAUAAAUAUAAAAUUUUAUAAAAUACUAAAUUAAUCUAAUACUCUAUCAAUAACAACAAAUUAUAAAUUAUUUUGGUGGUUGGUGGUGGUGAUGGCUAGUGGUGGUGGUUGUCGGUGUCGAUUAGGGAUGUUGUUAGUUAAUGAUGGUGUUGUGGGUUGUAGAUAGUGUUGAUGGUGGCUGGCAAUAGUGGUUGAUGGUGGUAGUUGGGGCUAGCGAUUAAUAGUUAUGGUGGAUGAUAGUGUUAGCUAAUGGUGAUGGUGACUGAUGACAGUGGUUGGCAAUAUAUAGUGGUGACUAAUAGUGAUAUUUGUCAAUAGUGAUUGAUGGUUGUUGUGAUAAUGGUGAUUGGUGGUGAUGAUUGUAAAUGGUGGCUAGUGGUUGUGGUCAAGUAUGGUGGCUAGUGGUUGUGGCCUAGUAUGGUGGCUAGUGGCUGUGGCCUAGUAUGGUGGCUGGUGGUUGUGGCUAAGUAUGGUGGUUGUGGGGUGGCAACAAUGGUAGUUUACAAUGGCUGGUGAUGUCGGUAGCGGUGAAUGAACAAAAUUGAUGAACUGCGAUCUUUGUAGAAAUCUUUGAAUAAGCAUCCUAAUGAUAUUUAAACUUUGUUACAUAUCUUAAUUAUUCAGAUGUAUUCAAACCCAUUAAAUGGUUAAAACAUUAAACAAAACAUAAUGGUUAAGAUCUUAAUGAUUAAAAUUCAGACCUACAAAUCAACGGACUUAAUAACUGAAAUUUGAAUGAUUAUGAUUUAAGACUUUAAUCUAGUGUAAACAAAUUAGGUCCAAGUAUCGAACCGUGCAUCAUUAGCCCUUUGGAGUUUCUCAGUUGCCAAAAAAACUUCAUUGUGUACUGAUAUAAUAUUGCUAUUGAUGAUAGGGGCUAUUGUCGAUAGUCUCAGGUUUGCGUCUUACUCGUUUAUGAUGGAACUUAGAUUAUCUGUACCAAGUUGCAUAUAAAGGCGUGAAACCUCUUUAUGAUGAAUUUGAAGACAUGAGCUAUCCUCUCCUCUCAAAAUUUCCAUUAACACUUGCCUAAUGCCCAUUUAUUUUCACUUAAACAGUGUUUUGAAUCCAUUAAGUGUUUUUUUCCUUCUUCAACCACUUAUUUGCUAUGAAUAAAUCUGGUUCAUUCAGAUUUUGUACGUAACUUUAGAAUCAUUAACAUGUUUGCUUAAAGAUUUCAUCAAAGGUGACCUUUUACUACCACUACACAACCACCACGACUAGUGUCCACCGCACAACCACUAUGGGCUGUUCUCAUUGCCAACCACCACCCCCAGCCACCUCAAUAACCACUACUAGC
Molecule: long non-coding RNA, 1381 nt
Filed under: Solanum tuberosum (potato)
Lineage: Eukaryota; Viridiplantae; Streptophyta; Magnoliopsida; Solanales; Solanaceae
Description: long non-coding RNA (STUB_LNC008926)
Source: RNAcentral